UCGGUGAAGCCAAUCAGAGGAUGGCCUAGGGAGGGAGCACGAAAGGAUGAAUGAAAAGUCCGGAGCCGGAGCGCUCCGGGGCCAGCGCGGCGGCGGAGGCUAACGAGGGAGCUGGGGAGGUGAGACCCAUUCUACCCUGCUCGCCUCUGCACGGCAGAGGCUGAGAUUCGGGUGGGCGCAUCCGCCCUAGCCCUGCUGAGCCCUGGCACCCAGGACCCAGGGCCAUGGAGCUCCGUGGGCGGGAAGGGCCCAGAGGACAACAUCUGGGAGCACGGAUAGGCGCCUCGGGCUCGAUGAAACUCCAUGAUCUUGUUUAUGCCUGUCUUGGGAAGUCCUUCCCAAUGUCUAGCCAAGAUCUGUACUGCUGAAGCAUCAGCUCCUUGACCCUUGGCUGGACAUGACUGAUCUGAGAAGUAAAGAAGAAACUGCCACCCACCUUUGGUCACUUGUUUGAGUUUCCUGGACUCCAGCUGUUGGGAUAGGGAAACUGAGACUUGGCUCGCUUGGUGAGAGGUCCAAGUGCCCUUAAAGACUUAGGAGCCUCAGGUCUAAAAUCUUUUGUUUAGAGAAGGGGAGUCGAUGUCACCAAAUGCUUGGGAAUCCCUCUUCCUUGGCGCCAUCCUCACCCAAAGAAAGAGGCGAGAGCCAGAGACCCUUGGGAAGUGAUAGUCUCCCAAGGUUUGGGGGUAUGGGGAGCCUCUGGAAGGCACACUCUCCCCUCUCACCAUUGGGAGGUUCCAACAGGGUCCCUGAGAAAUCCUGAAAUGGUGAGAAUUUGUCCUUCCUCUGGACUCAAGCAGAAGGUUGAGAAAAUGGUCAUCUUGACCUAGAGGAGCAUCUACAAGGGACCCUGAGCAGGGCCCAGCUUUGCUAAGGGAAUCUGGAAUGAGGAGCAGGUGGAGAGAAAAAGGCCAUUCUCAACUGAGGAGGAGUGGGCUGGCAGGGAGAGGCUGGGGAUAAUUUAUGAUGUCAUUGUUCCCCACCCCACUUUCUCAGCCCCCACCUUCUUCCCAGACCCCUGCUACCGAACCGUUGCUAGGAGAUGCUGGCUCUGCUUGGAGCUGGGUGGGUGGAACAGGUGGAGACUGUUCCAUCUGGACUCCUCCUCCCCCACCCAGGAGAGGGCCUGCAUAGACCUUCGUCUACCAUCCUUUCCCAAGCCCUGACAGACACCAGUCUCUUCUGCUGUUCCCCCCCAAUCCAGCCAACCUGGGGCUAGGAGGCUUCCCAGGCAGGCUGAGGAUUUGGAGCAAGGAAUGGGGAAGGGAGCUGUGGAGGGAGAGGCGGGCAGACUUAGUUGGGAUGUUGAAGAACAGCCAGCUUAGCUCAGGGCCUCUGGGAGCCAGCCCAGGCCCAGAAGAGGGCAAGAAGAGGGCAGGGGCACAUGUGUCAAGGAGCCCAUAUUUGAGGGAGACCAAAACCUUACCUUUGGGGGGUUUCCAGUAUGAUGAGUGAGGCAGACCUCCUAUCCCCAUACGUCCGUAGUAUGGUCAAGGUUAGGGAUCUGACAAGGAUAGAGUUGUGGGUUGGGUGGGGAUGAGGUAGGGAAAGGAGGAGGUAAAGCAGGGAAAAGGGACAUAGGUUUGGGGAGUCUGAGAGUCUGGGUAGAGGAAGGUGGCACAGAUAUGAGCAGAACUGGGCAGUGUAGAGGCGAGGCUGAGAAGCCCCACUCCUCUCUCUGAAAUCUCGUCUCAAAUUUUAAAGCUCUUUGGAGAAGUCAACUCAGGUGAGUUUUCGGGGCUACCAAAGCUGCUGGCUCCCAACCCCAGAUGGGGCAGGAAAGGAAUUAUUUGCCCACAGCUGUGCUUCUGACCCAAUUUCUGUGCAGCUCCUACUGACUUCAUACUUCUAUUGUAGGCACAGCUCCACUGCACCCCAGGAAGGAAGGAACUGACCUUGAUUAGGCACCCACUUGCUUGUGUAAGCCCUUUCUCAGCUGUUACCUUGGUUAAUCUUCCAAAAGUCCUAAAAACUGGGAGACAUUGUCCCCACUUUACAAAAGUGGAAUCAGAGCCCAAGAAAGACAUGUUGCCUAGCAUCACAGGACUAGCAGGUUGGGCUGGGCUUCAGGUGAGGCUUCGUGGAUCCUGGAGCAUAUGCUUGCUCUCUCUCCUCCUGCACGGACUUCUGGCAGAACAUGCUCCAAACACAAUGGGAGGGACUGAUGGGAGAGAGGAGCAGAUAGGCAGGGGGACUUCUGGACAAGUUCUCAGACCAAGAAAAAGAACCUAUUUCACCCAGUUGGCCUGGUUCCCUCCAAGAGGCCUUCCUGGGUUGACUGAAAGAUGAGGCUAAACUCUAACAAGUUGGCUGCUUCCUUCAAGAAGCCUGUGAACAGGAUGGAAGGAGAGAGGCCCCAGCUUCCAGCCUGGACAGCCGAUUACACCCGGGGCCACCUGGAAUAAGGCUUGGCUUCACCAUUGGCUCUGGUCCCAUCCCAUCCUGGUUUUGCCUGUGUUGUCUAAGCUGAGAUUCCUCUGAGGAGGGAGUCCCAUCUCCUGUCUAAUAAAGACUCUUGGCUACUGAACAACAGUA
Phyllostomus discolor (pale spear-nosed bat) is the source of this 2535-nucleotide long non-coding RNA. RefSeq lists it as uncharacterized. The record is from RefSeq and is a predicted model, not a curated record. The transcript is spliced from 3 exons. Lineage: Eukaryota; Metazoa; Chordata; Mammalia; Chiroptera; Phyllostomidae.